This 235-nucleotide ribosomal RNA is filed under the name uncultured Marinilabiliaceae bacterium. Its description in RNAcentral is "partial 23S ribosomal RNA". It matches the Rfam family "Bacterial large subunit ribosomal RNA", at positions 1 to 256 of the family's 2925-position model. The record is from RNAcentral. Lineage: Bacteria; Pseudomonadati; Bacteroidota; Bacteroidia; Marinilabiliales; Marinilabiliaceae.
AGAAAAGUAAUUAAGAGCGUAUGGCGGAUGCCUAGGCUCUCAGAGGCGAUGAAGGACGUGAUAAGCUGCGAAAAGUUUUGGAGAGGUGCAAAUAACUUAUGACCCGAAAAUAUCCGAAUGGGGCAACCCACCUGUUUACAGGUAUUCUGCAAAGAAGGCAAACCCGGAGAACUGAAACAUCUAAGUACCCGGAGGAGAAGAAAACAAUAGUGAUUCCCUUAGUAGUGGCGAUCGA